RNAcentral lists this long non-coding RNA (1769 nucleotides) under Callithrix jacchus (white-tufted-ear marmoset). RNAcentral's name for it is "lncRNA (ENSCJAG00000077762.1)". The record is from RNAcentral. Lineage: Eukaryota; Metazoa; Chordata; Mammalia; Primates; Cebidae.
UCUGUAAACUUUUUAUGGAAUUUCUCCUAAAAUAUACAUGUGUUUAAAAUUUAAAAAGAAAGAAAGAAUAUUUGGCAAUAAUGUAUUGAGAGAUUGGAUCAAAAACCACAAAUAUUUUGAAACUUAAUGCAACACAUACCUAAAUGUGCUCAUUUAUUUUUAGCUUUCGAAAGUCCAGUUAUUUAAUCUCUUAAUCAAAAUGUUUGAAGUUUCCAUUUCUAAAUACAUGAAAUGAUAAUAAAUAAUGAGCCCAAAAUGAAAAUGCACCCAUUUAAGGAGAAAAAUGGGAAUUUGAUGGAAAGUGAAUGUGAGUUUGAAUGAAAUGGAUAUAUCCUUUGUCUCCUUUGAUUUUCAGCUCCAGGUUAAUGAAGCACUGAAGUGGCAGCCAGCAGAAGUGCCUCUGGUUGAAUUCUUUGGCUUUACGUUUUUCAUCCAUAUCAGGAAGUAAUUAAAUAUAAAAAGUGUGCAUUGGAAAGAGUGUCCGAUACAGAACAUUCACAGGAGGAGGGAACAUUAUAGCUCUAAUUGAGGCUAUAACCCUUUCAAGAACCUAUGCUUAUUAUGCUUAACUGGGAGACAAGACACAAGACGUUUUUUAAGACACAAAAAGAGGAAGAUUUUGAGAUCAAAGGGAAAGUUGAGCCAGCUGAUUGCCAGCAUGGGGCCCAAGGUUCUGAUGUGAUUACUUUCUUCAAGAAUCAGAAUGACUGCAGCCUCUUCACCUAAAUUUCAUAAUGAAGCAACAAAAGCCAAGGUGAGUAAGGUUAUUCAAGCCAGAAAUUUCUCAGGAAGUGACGUGAGCAUGAGGCACAUGUUUUAAAGGCUGCUUGAGAUUCUUCUAUUCUUCAGACUUACCAGUGCAUUUCACCUUCGUUAGGGACAUCUUGCUUUCAGUUAAGGGACAGUGGAAGAAUUACUUAAUAAAUCAGGACCUUCCUAAUAGUAAGGGACAGAAAACACAAUCUAAUUAUGCAAAAAGGGCUCAUUUAGGUGGCACCUUCAUGGGUAGGGCUCGUGAGGCAUGGCUUGACAAGUGGCUGAUACCAUGGCACUGAGAUCUGAUUUCUUUCUGUCAUCUGCUGUCUUAGCUCUAUUCUCAGAAAGAUUCUCUUCAUCUAAGGGUAAAAUUGUGGCAGCUGCUUAAGUUCCAAAACAAUGGUAAAGGGUGUGCUUCCCUAAUAACUCAAAACAAAUCCUGGAAUCGGGUCUAAUUGUUCCAUGUGACCAUAAUCCGAGCCAAUGGCUAUGACCAAAUGUCAUCUUCUGGAAGACCAGUGGCAACAUGGAAUGAGGAAACAGAGUGCUUAUUAAAAGGCAAUUAGAACCCAUGACUGGAGUUACCUGAUGUAGUUUUUCCACUGUAUGGCCUUGGGUAAGUUAAUUUAGCUCUUAGGUUCACAUGUUGCUCCCUGUGAAAUGGGAGACUAGAUUACAUCUAGGGGAUCUUACAGUUCUAAUGUGAGAGUUUUGUUUGUGGAAUGUUCCAACAUUUGAGAGUUGAAGAGCUCCAAUUGUAUCAUCCACAAAAUCUUCUAGAAUAGUUUUGAAUAGAAGUUUCAUGUUUCACCCAUGGAACCAUGAAACCCAAAGGAGGCGUUCAAGGGGAGGAGACAGAUUGAUCAGAUCCAAAUUGAAUUAAAAUUAGGGAGAUCUAUCUGGCCAAGUGAAAUUAGUGGCUCUUAAAAGUUUGAUGAAUGAAUCCUGGUCAGCAUAAAAUUUUUUUUAAUCACUAAAAAAAAUUUGGAAGCCAGUGUGCACUGGUGACCAUG